This 548-nucleotide ribosomal RNA is filed under the name uncultured bacterium. Its description in RNAcentral is "partial 16S ribosomal RNA". It matches the Rfam family "Bacterial small subunit ribosomal RNA", at positions 355 to 892 of the family's 1533-position model. The record is from RNAcentral.
UGGGGAAUAUUGGACAAUGGGCGCAAGCCUGAUCCAGCAAUGCCGCGUGUGUGAAGAAGGCCUUCGGGUUGUAAAGCACUUUAAGCAGGGAAGAAAAACUCGGUCUAAUACAUCGAGUCUUGACGGUACCUGAAGAAUAAGCACCGGCUAACUCUGUGCCAGCAGCCGCGGUAAUACAGAGGGUGCUAGCGUUAAUCGGAUUUACUGGGCGUAAAGCGUGUGUAGGUGGUUGUUCAAGUCAGUUGUGAAAUCCCUGGGCUUAACCUGGGAACUGCUUCUGAGACUGAACGACUAGAGUACGGUAGAGGGUGGUGGAAUUUCCGGUGUAGCGGUGAAAUGCGUAGAUAUCGGAAGGAACAUCAAUGGCGAAGGCAGCCACCUGGGCCUGUACUGACACUGAGACACGAAAGCGUGGGGAUCAAACAGGAUUAGAUACCCUGGUAGUCCACGCCGUAAACGAAUGAGAACUUGAACGUCGGUUUGCUUUGCAAGUCGGUGNCGUAGCUAAACGCGAUAAAGUUCUCCGCCUGGGGGAGUACGGCCGCAAA